GUCAGGAUGGCCGAGCGGUCUAAGGCGCUGCGUUCAGGUCGCAGUCUCCCCUGGGUUCAAAUCCCACUUCUGACA
Micropterus dolomieu (smallmouth bass) is the source of this 75-nucleotide non-coding RNA. The record is from the annotation of a RefSeq genome assembly. Lineage: Eukaryota; Metazoa; Chordata; Actinopteri; Centrarchiformes; Centrarchidae.